GAUGAACGCUAGCGAUAGGCCUAACACAUGCAAGUCGAGGGGCAGCAUAGAGUAGCAAUACUUUGAUGGCGACCGGCGCACGGGUGAGUAACACGUAUGCAACCUACCUACAUCAGGGGAAUAACCCGGAGAAAUUCGGACUAAUACCGCAUAAUACAGGGAUGCCGCAUGGCAAUAUUUGUUAAAGAUUUAUCGGAUGUAGAUGGGCAUGCGUUCCAUUAGCUGGUAGGUAAGGUAACGGCUUACCAAGGCAACGAUGGAUAGGGGAAACUGAGAGGUUUGUCCCCCACACUGGAACUGAGACACGGACCAGACUCCUACGGGAGGCAGCAGUGAGGAAUAUUGGUCAAUGGACGAGAGUCUGAACCAGCCAAAUCGCGUGAAGGAAGACUGCCCUACGGGUUGUAAACUUCUUUUGUACAGGAAUAAAAGACAUUACGUGUAAUGUAUUGCAUGUACUGUACGAAUAAGCAUCGGCUAACUCCGUGCCAGCCGCCGCUGUAA
Molecule: ribosomal RNA, 504 nt
Filed under: uncultured bacterium
Lineage: Bacteria
Description: partial 16S ribosomal RNA
Rfam family: Bacterial small subunit ribosomal RNA
Source: RNAcentral